This 332-nucleotide ribosomal RNA is filed under the name uncultured bacterium. RNAcentral describes it as "bacterial SSU rRNA". It matches the Rfam family "Bacterial small subunit ribosomal RNA", at positions 568 to 898 of the family's 1533-position model. The record is from RNAcentral.
CACGCAGGCGGUUUGGUAAGUCAGGGGUGAAAGCCCACAGCUUAACUGUGGGAUUGCCUCUGAUACUGCCUUUCUGGAGUGCAGGAGAGGGAAGCGGAAUUCCGAGUGUAGAGGUGAAAUUCGUAGAUAUUCGGAGGAACACCGGUGGCGAAGGCGGCUUCCUGGCCUGUAACUGACGCUCAGGUGCGAAAGCGUGGGGAGCAAACAGGAUUAGAUACCCUGGUAGUCCACGCCCUAAACGAUGGGCACUAGGUGUGGGAGGUAUCGACCCCUUCCGUGCCGCAGCUAACGCAUUAAGUGCCCCGCCUGGGGAGUACGGCCGCAAGGUUGAA